GUAGGUGGCAAGCGUUGUCCGGAAUUAUUGGGCGUAAAGCGCGCGCAGGCGGUUCUUUAAGUCUGAUGUGAAAGCCCACGGCUCAACCGUGGAGGGUCAUUGGAAACUGGAGAACUUGAGUACAGAAGAGGAAAGCGGAAUUCCACGUGUAGCGGUGAAAUGCGUAGAGAUGUGGAGGAACACCAGUGGCGAAGGCGGCUUUCUGGUCUGUAACUGACGCUGAGGCGCGAAAGCGUGGGGGAGCAAACAGGAUUAGAUACCCUGGUAGUCCACGCCGUAAACGAUGAGUGCUAAGUGUUAGGGGGUUUCCGCCCCUUAGUGCUGCAGCUAACGCAUAAGCACUCCCGCCUGGGAGUACGGCCGCAAGGCUG
This 371-nucleotide ribosomal RNA is filed under the name uncultured organism. RNAcentral's name for it is "partial 16S ribosomal RNA". It matches the Rfam family "Bacterial small subunit ribosomal RNA", at positions 527 to 896 of the family's 1533-position model. The record is from RNAcentral.